Molecule: ribosomal RNA, 561 nt
Filed under: Talaromyces islandicus
Lineage: Eukaryota; Fungi; Ascomycota; Eurotiomycetes; Eurotiales; Trichocomaceae
Description: eukaryotic LSU rRNA
Rfam family: 5.8S ribosomal RNA (bases 194-347)
Source: RNAcentral
AAGGAUCAUUACCGAGUGCGGGUUCCAACGAGCCCAACCUCCCACCCGUGUUUACCAUGACCGCGUUGCCUCGGCGGGCCCACUGGGGCCUGGCCCCGGUCGCCGGGGGGCUCCCGCCCCCGGGUCCGCGCCCGCCGAAGCGCCCUGGAACCCUGUCUGAAUAGUGAGUCUGAGUGAAUGAUUCAAUCAUUAAAACUUUCAACAACGGAUCUCUUGGUUCCGGCAUCGAUGAAGAACGCAGCGAAAUGCGAUAAGUAAUGUGAAUUGCAGAAUUCCGUGAAUCAUCGAAUCUUUGAACGCACAUUGCGCCCCCUGGCAUUCCGGGGGGCAUGCCUGUCCGAGCGUCAUUUCUGCCCUCCAGCCCGGCUGGGUGUUGGGCGCUGUCCCCCCGGGGACACGCCCCAAAGGCAGUGGCGGCGCCGCGUCGGGUCCUCGAGCGUAUGGGGCUUUGUCACCCGCUCGGGACGGACUCGUCGGCGCUGGUCUUCCUCCAGGCGACCCUUCGGGGCCCGUCUUCCUUCGGUUGACCUCGGAUCAGGUAGGGUUACCCGCUGAACUUAA